Molecule: long non-coding RNA, 754 nt
Filed under: Phoenix dactylifera (date palm)
Lineage: Eukaryota; Viridiplantae; Streptophyta; Magnoliopsida; Arecales; Arecaceae
Description: long non-coding RNA (PDAC_LNC004286)
Source: RNAcentral
CAAAAGGAAAGUGCCUCUGGCGGCUAUCACUGGUGGUGAUCUGAAAAAAUAUAAAUGAACUGGCAUGAGCUACACGGCUCAGUAAGUAAUUCUGCAUAAUCUCGUCGGAUCAACUAUAAAUACUAAACAUGUUUAAACGGGGUUUGAGAAGCUGACAUGUAUACUAUCUAACAAAUCAUCAUGAUAAAAUAUUCAUGCUGAGUAUAUAAAUCAAUGUUUUAUAUCAACAAGAAUUUUCAUGAAAUGCACAUAUAAACCGUGCAUCCGGCAUGCCGUGGUCCAUACUCUCAGAUGCUACUGCGAAGUUAGUAUCGGCCACUGGCGGGGCUGGCUCAGUCAUUCUCGGCCACUGGCAAGGCCGGCUCAGUUGCAUUCGAUCAGUAGCUCUUAAGAGUCCGUAAACAAUACUUCUUGUAGGUAGUACCUCAUGGAUGCUACGGCGAAUUCAUUAUCAGUCACUGGCGGGGCCUGCUCAGUUAUUAGUCAGCCACUGGUGGGGCCGGCUCAGUCAUUAUCGGCCACUGGCAAGGCCGGCUCAGUUGCAUUCGGCCCGUAGCAAUAAGAGCCCUUAGGUAUCCCUUGCAAGAAGUGCGUAUAGCUAGAUGCAAUUCAUCAUCUAUUUUACACUUAUACCACAAUUAUAUUAAUUGCAUUCAUGUAAUAUAAUCCAAUUUAUCUUGCAUGCAUAGAAAAUCUGCAUAAGCAUAAUGUAUGCAUAAUCAUAAAAUAUAUGACUAAAACAUGCCACUCGUAU